This 69-nucleotide transfer RNA is filed under the name Engaeus lyelli. RNAcentral describes it as "tRNA-Gln". The record is from RNAcentral. Lineage: Eukaryota; Metazoa; Arthropoda; Malacostraca; Decapoda; Parastacidae.
GCGUGUAAGUGUAAAGAGCACAGAAAGUUUUGAUCUUUUUAGGGCUAGUGCGAGCCUAGUGUAUGCAGG